GACGAACCGUGCGAACGUUGUUCGGAAUCACUGGGCUUAAAGGGCGCGUAGGCGGGUGCUCAAGUCCGGGGUGAAAUCCUCCAGCUCAACUGGAGUACUGCCUCGGAUACUGGGUGCCUCGAGUGUGGUAGGGGUGUGCGGAACUAUCGGUGGAGCGGUGAAAUGCGUUGAUAUCGAUAGGAACUCCGGUGGCGAAGGCGGCACACUGGACCACAACUGACGCUGAGGCGCGAAAGCCAGGGGAGCAAACGGG
This 253-nucleotide ribosomal RNA is filed under the name uncultured bacterium. Its description in RNAcentral is "partial 16S ribosomal RNA". It matches the Rfam family "Bacterial small subunit ribosomal RNA", at positions 524 to 776 of the family's 1533-position model. The record is from RNAcentral.